RNAcentral lists this ribosomal RNA (432 nucleotides) under Triticum aestivum (bread wheat). Its description in RNAcentral is "partial small subunit ribosomal RNA". Lineage: Eukaryota; Viridiplantae; Streptophyta; Magnoliopsida; Poales; Poaceae. The record is from RNAcentral.
AUGCUUAUUGAUAUUGCAAUUGAGUCUAUACAAGGCCUGCUUUCAUUUUUCAGUAAGUAUAGAGAUACUGGAUUUUCAAAAGCACUAGAAGCUGCAAGAGAAAUUCCACUUGUGAUGGAUAUUCAUCCAGAGUUCCGCACCAAGAGUAAACUCAAAAGAAGAAGACAAUUUGAUGAGGGUGUAGAUGAUGCAUCUAUUGUUUCACAAUCUGCAGAGGAGUCAUUUAUGGUCAACUAUUUUCUGCAAGUGGUCGAUCAAGCUAUAGUUCACUUACCAGGAGAUUUGAGGAAUAUCAGGGGUAUGAAAAUACUUUUGGUUUCUUAUCUACUUCAGAUAGGCUGCGAUCUUUGGAUGAUAAGAGUUUGUUGGCUGCUUGUGUUAAUCUUGAGAAUGCACUUAAGAGUAGAGAACAGAAAGACAUCAAUGGAGUAG